GGCACUUUGGCGGAGUGGUUAACGCGCUGGCCUGCUAUACUUCAGCAUUCCCUUUCGGGAUAGAGCUUAGUAAGCCAGUUCCUUCGGGAGCGUGAGUUCGAAUCUCACAGGUGUCG
Aplosporella prunicola CBS 121167 is the source of this 116-nucleotide non-coding RNA. Lineage: Eukaryota; Fungi; Ascomycota; Dothideomycetes; Botryosphaeriales; Aplosporellaceae. The record is from the annotation of a RefSeq genome assembly.